This 567-nucleotide ribosomal RNA is filed under the name uncultured Sphingobacteriales bacterium. RNAcentral's name for it is "bacterial SSU rRNA". It matches the Rfam family "Bacterial small subunit ribosomal RNA", at positions 392 to 967 of the family's 1533-position model. The record is from RNAcentral. Lineage: Bacteria; Pseudomonadati; Bacteroidota; Sphingobacteriia; Sphingobacteriales.
CCAUGCCGCGUGCAGGAUGAAGGCGCUCAGCGUUGUAAACUGCUUUUGCCCGGGAAAAAUGUGCGGGGUGCGCAGCACAGUGACGGUAUAGGGUGAAUACGCACCGGCUAACUCCGUGCCAGCAGCCGCGGUAAUACGGAGGGUGCAAGCGUUGUCCGGAUUUAUUGGGUUUAAAGGGUGCGUAGGCGGGCUGGUAAGUCUGGUUUGAAAGCGGGUGGCUUAACCAUCCGAUGUGGCUGGAUACUGUUAGUCUUGAAAUUGUUGGAGGCAGCCGGAACGGGUCGUGUAGCGGUGAAAUGCAUAGAGAUGACCCAGAACACCAAUUGCGUAGGCAGGCUGCUGUGACUGAUUUGACGCUGAGGCACGAGGGCAUGGGGAGCAAACAGGAUUAGAUACCCUGGUAGUCCAUGCCGUAAACGAUGAUUACUGGCUGUUUGCGACAUGGUUCUGAUGGCUAAGGGAAACCGGUAAGUAAUCCACCUGGGGAGUACGCCGGCAACGGUGAAACUCAAAGGAAUUGACGGAGGAAACUCAAAGGAAUUGACGGAAACUCAAAGGAAUUGACGG